Molecule: ribosomal RNA, 220 nt
Filed under: Salmonella enterica subsp. enterica serovar Anatum
Lineage: Bacteria; Pseudomonadati; Pseudomonadota; Gammaproteobacteria; Enterobacterales; Enterobacteriaceae
Description: partial 16S ribosomal RNA
Rfam family: Bacterial small subunit ribosomal RNA
Source: RNAcentral
AAAUUGAAGAGUUUGAUCAUGGCUCAGAUUGAACGCUGGCGGCAGGCCUAACACAUGCAAGUCGAACGGUAACAGGAAGCAGCUUGCUGCUUCGCUGACGAGUGGCGGACGGGUGAGUAAUGUCUGGGAAACUGCCUGAUGGAGGGGGAUAACUACUGGAAACGGUGGCUAAUACCGCAUAACGUCGCAAGACCAAAGAGGGGGAACUUCGGGCCUCUUG